CAUCAUUUUGUUCAGCAAUUGUCAUAAUGCUGUCAUAUGGUUUGAUUGCUUUGAGUGUGAAGGAUUAUCCUUUCUUUCUGGGACAUCCUGUAUAUAAACCAAGUGCCAGCUAUUAUUAGAUCAUCCAUGAGCUUCACUGCAUAUAAAAAUUCAGAUUGGUUCCCGGAGAUGCCAAAAUUAGCCAGCAAUUUGGACAUAACAUACAUAAUAACAGUACAUGCUAACCUAUUUUCCUCGGUUACUUGGUACAUGAGAAAAGGAAGAAACACUUCAAAUAUGUUGGAUAAGAUUGGUUUAUUCUAAUAUUUAUUUCGGAUAUACAUAUUUUAAUGUGGUCAUCACACACAAGUAGAAACUACAUGGACAGGUAGACAAUAAAAACUGGAAAAUAUAACUUACUCUCGCCUUUUUGAUUCUGUCAUUGCUUUAGCUGGGAGAUGUCGUCCAUCAAAUACUAAGAUUGGUUUUAUGUUCUUAGACAGAAGCAUUGUCACAUAUUUCAAACAGUACUUUAUAUGCCUGCAAAAUAAAUGUUGUAUACUUGUUAUAAAAUAAAUACAUGAUGUAAUGGGACAAUUUAGAGACCUUAAAAUACAUAAAUAAUACAUAAACAGAAAAUAAUAUUUACUUAUUAAGCUAAGCAAAUACAAGUAGCUUUCUUGACUUUAAGCAUUUGACUCAUAGAUUCAGCAUAUUAGAUAAUUUUAAUUAUGAAACAGUGCAAUUUUUUUUUAUCAUGAAUAUUCCUAUAUUUGUUGUCAGGAAUUUUUUUAUUACAUCCUGUAGAUUUGAUUGGACCUCAUUUUUUGACUUGAUAUAAUAAAUGUCACAUUCAA
This is a long non-coding RNA of Bombyx mori (domestic silkworm), 836 nucleotides long. RefSeq lists it as uncharacterized. The record is from RefSeq and is a predicted model, not a curated record. NCBI's taxonomy places the organism in Eukaryota, Metazoa, Arthropoda, Insecta, Lepidoptera, Bombycidae. The transcript has 2 exons.